GAUCAUGCUCAGGAUGAACGCUAGCGACAGGCUUAACACAUGCAAGUCGAGGGGCAGCGAGGGAGUGGCAACACUUCUGUCGGCGACCGGCGCACGGGUGAGUAACGCGUAUGCAACCUGCCCUUCACAGGGGGGAUAACCGGGAGAAAUUCCGACUAAUACCGCAUACGUCCUUUGGGGGCAUCCCCUGGGAUGAAAGAGUUAUCGGUGAAGGAUGGGCAUGCGUGAUAUUAGGUAGUUGG
This 242-nucleotide ribosomal RNA is filed under the name uncultured bacterium. Its description in RNAcentral is "partial 16S ribosomal RNA". It matches the Rfam family "Bacterial small subunit ribosomal RNA", at positions 15 to 252 of the family's 1533-position model. The record is from RNAcentral.